Macadamia integrifolia is the source of this 489-nucleotide long non-coding RNA. RefSeq lists it as uncharacterized. The record is from RefSeq and is a predicted model, not a curated record. The transcript is spliced from 2 exons. Lineage: Eukaryota; Viridiplantae; Streptophyta; Magnoliopsida; Proteales; Proteaceae.
UUUACUCAUUGAUAGGUACUUCGGAAAAUUCAAGAUCAAAGACUCAACUGAAAUAAUAACUGUGACAAUCUUUGAGGAACUUGAAACACUUAUAGGAUGUUCAACAAUUGAAUAUGCAAGAUCAUCAGAAAAGUACAAACAAAAAUUGGAUGUGUGCCUAUCAAAGAACUAUUAUUUCUACUUCAAAAUGGAUUCAAAAAAUGAAGGAAGUCGAAAAUCAAGAAGCAUUGUUAUCGAUACUAUGAAAGAACGAAAUGCGCAAAAAAGAAGCAUCAUAGAUGUUGAGGACGAUGAAGACAAAAAAGGAAAAAAAAAUUAAAAUAGAAAAAGAUUAAGCAAUACCAUUUGAUCUUUAGCCCAAAACAAUUAUUAUUUGUUGCAGCAAAUAUUCAUGGGUUUCUUCAAAUAAAUUUAAAUUUUAAACUUAUGUUACAAAUGUAGGAGAUUUAGAUAUUCUAUUUCAAAUAAUCUCUCUUUUAUUUCUAUAAA